This is a long non-coding RNA of Cotesia glomerata, 1078 nucleotides long. RefSeq lists it as uncharacterized. The transcript is spliced from 2 exons. The record is from RefSeq and is a predicted model, not a curated record. NCBI's taxonomy places the organism in Eukaryota, Metazoa, Arthropoda, Insecta, Hymenoptera, Braconidae.
GGGGCACGGUCACGCGCGUACCACGACUAUCACUCUUAAAUAUAUUUAAAUAAAUAGUUAAUAGUUAACUAAUAAUUAUAUUUCAUCCGAUAGUUCGAUAGUUCGUCGAGUUAAGCUCUCAUUUUAUUUAUUUCAUUCUAGAAAAAAGUGAUAAAUAUUUAUUUACAAAAUGGAAAACAUUCUGGAUCCUACUGGAUUGUACUAAUAAUUAAAAAUAAUAAUAAUAAUAAAUUUUUAAUUGAAAAAAGUGUCAGUUAAAAAACGUACGAUGGCUAAUGUUCUGGACCCGACUGGACUCUACUGACCAAAUUGUAAUUGUUAAUUAUUAAUUAAUAGUUGACAGAAAUUUGCAAGUAGAAUAAAAGGUCAGAAUUAAUACUAAUUAGUAGACAAAAAUCAUUUAACAAUGUUGACGUUGAUGGGGAAACUGGACCCCACGGGGGAGUACUGAGGCUAAUUCUUAUCUGCAAAGUUGAGGUGAGACUGCGGAAGACGUGAGUCAAGGUCACGACAUGGCUGAGGUGCUCGAUCCUACCGGGCAAUAUUGAGGAGGAAGAGGAAGGUGAGGAGAAGAAGAAGAAGAAGAAGAAUAAGAAUAAGAAUAAGUAGUAUGGUAGUAGAAAAAAAGAAAAAGGAACAAGUCCUGGAGACAGUCGACAAGAGUAGACGUAAAUAAAUAAAGUAAAAAAUAUUAUAUACCGAGUACCAAGUUCCCGUGUGGCAGGUGCACUGAUAGUGAUGUCGUCACUGGUAGGAAACAUUCAAAUGGUGAUAAACGUUCUCAGAGGCCGAGAAGAAGUUUCUUCGACGAAUUUAAGGAGAUGGGGCUGGAGCAUUCAUAUCCGCAAGGGCAGACACCAUCAGUUAUUUUGCUGUUUUUAAGACAUCGAUUAGCAAAAUGAUCACUGCCAACGCGAGAAGUAUAAGACUUUGAUGUAAGACGUCCAAAAAUCCAAAACCUGCACGUGAGACAGCAACAAUAGAAUCUUACUUCAGAAACAACACUGCCUGUUACUGCCAUGGAAAAUUAAGCUUUUAUUUUUUUCAUGACGAGACAUGUCAUUUAUAUGAUAGUGUA